This 254-nucleotide ribosomal RNA is filed under the name uncultured bacterium. RNAcentral describes it as "partial 16S ribosomal RNA". It matches the Rfam family "Bacterial small subunit ribosomal RNA", at positions 524 to 776 of the family's 1533-position model. The record is from RNAcentral.
UACGUAGGGGGCGAGCGUUGUCCGGAUUUAUUGGGCGUAAAGAGCUCGUAGGCGGUUUGGCAAGUCGGAUGUGAAAUCUCCAGGCUCAACCUGGAGGGGUCAUUCGAAACUGCUAUGACUAGAGUUCGGUAGAGGAGUGUGGAAUUCCUGGUGGAGCGGUGAAAUGCGCAGAGAUCAGGAGGAACACCCGUAGCGAAGGCGGCACUCUGGGCCGAUACUGACGCUGAAGAGCGAAAGCGUGGGGAGCGAACAGG